Molecule: non-coding RNA, 90 nt
Organism: Clathrus columnatus
Lineage: Eukaryota; Fungi; Basidiomycota; Agaricomycetes; Phallales; Clathraceae
Source: the annotation of a GenBank genome assembly
GCCUUGCUAGCUCAAUCGGUAGAGCGUGAGACUCUUAUCAUGUAGGAGCAAAACAUCUCAAGGUUGCGGGUUCGACCCCCGCGUGAGGCU